GACGAACGCUGGCGGCGUGGAUUAGGCAUGCAAGUCGAACGGUAGGAUACCUUCGGGUAUCUGAGAGUGGCGAACGGGUGAGUAACACGUAGGUGAUCUACCCUCAAGAUUGGGACAACCCAGGGAAACUUGGGCUAAUACCGGAUGAAAGCAGCAGUGAUGUUGUUUGAAAGGUGGCGUAAGCUGCCGUUUGGGGAUGAGCCUGCGCUCUAUUAGUUAGUUGGCGGGGUAAAGGCCCACCAAGGCGAUGAUAGAUAGGCGGCCUUAACGGGCGGUCGCCCACACUGGGAUUGAGAUACGGCCCAGACUCCUACGGGAGGCAGCAGUCGAGAAUAGUCUACAAUGGCCGAAAGGCUGAUAGUGCGACGCCGCGUGAACGAAGAAGCCCUUCGGGGUGUAAAGUUCUUUUAUAUGUGAGCAGUGCUUUCUAUGUGAACAGCAUGGGGAGAGAGAUAUUAGCAUAUGAAUAAGCAACGGCUAACUCCGUG
This 488-nucleotide ribosomal RNA is filed under the name uncultured bacterium. RNAcentral's name for it is "bacterial SSU rRNA". It matches the Rfam family "Bacterial small subunit ribosomal RNA", at positions 28 to 507 of the family's 1533-position model. The record is from RNAcentral.